RNAcentral lists this ribosomal RNA (323 nucleotides) under Pseudomonas sp. FES55. Its description in RNAcentral is "bacterial SSU rRNA". It matches the Rfam family "Bacterial small subunit ribosomal RNA", at positions 976 to 1302 of the family's 1533-position model. The record is from RNAcentral. Lineage: Bacteria; Pseudomonadati; Pseudomonadota; Gammaproteobacteria; Pseudomonadales; Pseudomonadaceae.
UGGCCUUGACAUGCAGAGAACUUUCCAGAGAUGGAUUGGUGCCUUCGUGAACUCUGACACAGGUGGUGCAUGGCUGUUGUCAGCUUGUGUCGUGAGAUGUUGGGUUAAGUCCCGUAACGAGCGCAACCCUUGUCCUUAGUUACCAGCACCUCGGGUGGGCACUCUAAGGAGACUGCCGGUGACAAACCGGAGGAAGGUGGGGAUGACGUCAAGUCAUCAUGGCCCUUACGGCCAGGGCUACACACGUGAUACAAUGGUCGGUACAGAGGGUUGCCAAGCCGCGAGGUGGAGCUAAUCCCAUAAAACCGAUCGUCCGGAUCGCA